UAAUACGUAGGCAGCAAGCGUUGUUCGGAAUUACUGGGCGUAAAGAGUGCGUAGGCGGUUGGCUAAGUUUGGUGUGAAAUCUCCCGGCUCAACUGGGAGGGUGCGCCGAAAACUGGUCGGCUAGAGUGUGGGAGAGGUAAGUGGAAUUCCUGGUGUAGCGGUGAAAUGCGUAGAUAUCAGGAGGAACACCUGCGGUGUAGACGGCUUACUGGACCAUGACUGACGCUGAGGCACGAAAGCGUGGGGAGCAAACAGGAUUAGAUACCCUGGUAGUCCACGCCCUAAACGAUGCAAACUUGGUGUGCGCCCUUCAUUGGGUGCGUGCCGAAGCUAACGCGUUAAGUUUGCCGCCUGGGGAGUACGGUCGCAAGGCUGAAACUCAAAUGAAUUGACGG
RNAcentral lists this ribosomal RNA (395 nucleotides) under bacterium enrichment culture. RNAcentral describes it as "bacterial SSU rRNA". It matches the Rfam family "Bacterial small subunit ribosomal RNA", at positions 521 to 916 of the family's 1533-position model. The record is from RNAcentral.